AUACGGAGGGUGCAAGCGUUAAUCGGAAUUACUGGGCGUAAAGAGUACGUAGGUGGUUUAUUAAGUCAGAUGUGAAAGCCCCGGGCUCAACCUGGGAACUGCAUUUGAAGCUAGUAGACUAGAGUAUGGUAGAGGGGGGUAGAAUUUCUAGUGUAGCGGUGAAAUGCGUAGAUAUUAGAAGGAAUACCAGUGGCGAAGGCGGCCCCCUGGACCAAUACUGACACUGAGGUACGAAAGCGUGGGUAGCGAACAGGAUUAGAAACCCUUGUAGUCC
Molecule: ribosomal RNA, 274 nt
Filed under: uncultured bacterium
Lineage: Bacteria
Description: partial 16S ribosomal RNA
Rfam family: Bacterial small subunit ribosomal RNA
Source: RNAcentral